UCAUCAGUACACACAUUCGGCUGCGAAAAAUGAUAUAUUUCAAACUUGGUUUAAUUGAUGGGAUAAUUUUGUUUACAGAACAACCGGAAUCUCAAGGUGGAGUUAUUGCUAAGAAGGAAAAACUACUUACUCUUGAUGGUUAAACACUUGAACUCCAAAUAUUGCUGCUCAUACUUUCACAUAUUGAUAGCUAGCUGUUGCUACAAAUGACUUCACGGAAUAGUGGGUUUUAGGUGAAGGGAGAUCUGGACGUGUAUAUAGUAAGGCCUACCUCGAAAGCACUGAUCAGGUCAGUCGUGGUUACUCUACUUUCACCAUUUUUGCUACGAAUCGAAAAAAGAAAUAAAAGCAGUAGAUACCAGUUCCAUAAGUUUUUUAUUUGUAUUUUGUGAAUUGCGGGGAAGUGGUUGUCUUUGCAGGUAAUUGCAGUGAAACAGCUUGACAGGGAUGGCCUUUAAGGAAACAUAAUGUAAUACUACUUGAGAAAGGCUUACCAUAUUUUCAGGACAUCCAUCUGGUGGAAGGUCAAAUUUGAAGGAAACAGCCAGCAAUGCAAUUACCAUGUUUUGUAGAAAAGUGUAUCAAAUUGAACAAGAGAUGUUUGGAACAACAAAAUGAUUGACCAUGUUUUCUCGAAAAUUUGUGGUUGGCGAGACUUCUGUCAAUUGUUCUCCUAGACCAGGUCCAAACCAACAUUUAGAGAAUAUGAGGUUAGACAGGGCAGUUAUGCCGGGCAAGAGGAAGGUACUCGGUGGAAAUGCAUAUGUUUUUAUCCGGGCACAUGUUGUUCCAAAGCGACUUCCUUAAACUGGAGUAGUGGACUGACAUCCAAUUUCCUCUGUAUGGCCCAUACCACUCAAUACGGGAUACACUCUCGCAAGUUAUCUUUUAAUGACGAUGACAGAAUAUUGCCAAAAAGUCCCGAAGUUAUCAAAGGAAAAGGGAAUUUGGUGGACUGUAUCAAAAUAGUGUCAAAAAAGGAAGAAGAAAGAUCUGAGUCCAAGAGGAUUCCAUUUUAGUUGCCCAUCUGGAUUUGAUUGGGAACAUGGUAGUUGAUCUUAUGUCUAUUGAAAUUAUUUUAUACGUUUUGAUGUUUUCUGUCUCAUGGAUCCUAAAACCCGGAAUACAAAAGGUCGAUCUGAAAUUUGCAGUAAUCAAAAGCCCCUUGCUUUUGCUGUUCAUCCAAUGGUUGCCUCCAUUUCUUUAGAACCUCCGUCUGUCAUAUUACGGAAGCUCGACCGGAUUGAGUUAUAGUCUCAAUAAUUUUAUUAUUGUACUUGCGGCAAUUCUUAAUACCUUAGGAACUUGCACACCUCUUUUCCAAUUAUAGCCUUGGAAAUAUUUGCAUCCAAUGUAGUAUUUAUUUUUUAUGUGUUUAUUCUGAAUUCACGGUAUCUUAAUUCCCUGUUUGCACGAAAUAUUCAUUGAGUGGCAACAAGAAGAGACAAGAUUGUAGCUAUAUUAAUGAUGGCUAUUGGUGUAACAGAUCUUUACAUGGUCAUGCAUGUCAGAUUAUCUUUCAGGUACCGACGUAUUACGUAUAGAUCUAAGAAGAAGGCCCAGAAUUUUGAAGUUACUAAAACAUUCAUCAAACAUAACUCAUGAGCAGCAUACUUCAUGGAAGACUUGAUGUCAAAGUUUUGCAUACUAACACUUUGUUAAAUUAAUGGACACACAUUUAAAACAUUGUGAUCUAAUGGGUGCUAUACAAGUUAUAUGAACUUCAACCUCAUGACAUGUUUGGGAUUUGGAUUUUCUAACAAUACGGCGAAUUGCCAACAUGAGAAUAGAAGGUGAAUGAGCUGGAACAAAAGCUUUCACAGAUAUAGGAGGAACAUGCGAUACGGAAAUGAAGGAUGAGGAGAUUUUUUUUUCUUUUG
Molecule: long non-coding RNA, 1880 nt
Organism: Papaver somniferum (opium poppy)
Lineage: Eukaryota; Viridiplantae; Streptophyta; Magnoliopsida; Ranunculales; Papaveraceae
Exons: 4
Source: RefSeq, a predicted model, not a curated record